Molecule: ribosomal RNA, 253 nt
Filed under: uncultured bacterium
Lineage: Bacteria
Description: partial 16S ribosomal RNA
Rfam family: Bacterial small subunit ribosomal RNA
Source: RNAcentral
GACAGAGGGUGCAAACGUUGUUCGGAAUUACUGGGCGUAAAGCGCGUGUAGGCGGCCAUCUAAGUCGGGUGUGAAAUCCCACGGCUCAACCGUGGAAGUGCACUCGAAACUGGAUGGCUAGAGUCUUGGAGAGGAAGGUGGAAUGCUUGGUGUAGAGGUGAAAUUCGUAGAUAUCAAGCGGAACACCGGUGGCGAAGGCGGCCUUCUGGACAGUGACUGACGCUGAGACGCGAAGGCGUGGGGAGCAAACAGG